Molecule: long non-coding RNA, 380 nt
Organism: Fundulus heteroclitus (mummichog)
Lineage: Eukaryota; Metazoa; Chordata; Actinopteri; Cyprinodontiformes; Fundulidae
Exons: 5
Source: RefSeq, a predicted model, not a curated record
GCUCCUGCUGAAGAACAAAAGGAACCUACAGCAAUGGAUGUCCAAACCGAGGAUUUGUCUCCUGGACAGGCUCUGGAAAAUCGUAUUAAUCUCUGUUCAAGUGGUUGGCGCCCGUAUAAUUCCCGCUGCUAUAAACUUGUUAAAACUCAUUUUCUGACCUGGAUCGAAGCUCAGAAGCACUGCAAAGGUAUUGGAGGCCAUCUGGCUUCAGCCACCGACUCAGGAUUGUCAGUUUUCCUCCAAACGAUGAUGCAAAGAGCUAACGUGGAAGCUGCAUGGCUUGGAGGUUUCUGGCUGCAGGACUAUUGGAGGUGGAUUAAUGGCGAGGAUAUGCACUAUACAGGCUGGUCUCAUGACUUCCCCAUUUACCACCCACCGAC